RNAcentral lists this unclassified non-coding RNA (185 nucleotides) under Clostridium perfringens. RNAcentral describes it as "partial 16S-23S ribosomal RNA intergenic spacer". Lineage: Bacteria; Bacillati; Bacillota; Clostridia; Eubacteriales; Clostridiaceae. The record is from RNAcentral.
AAGGAAYACAUCUUMGGACAACUAMGAUGAUAAUGAAUUCUGGAUAAUAUCUCUGYUYAAUUUUGAGAGACUAUCUCUYAAAAUUGUUCUUUGAAAAUUGCACAUAAUUUAAUUUAUAGAAACAACAAGCCAAAUUGGCAAAACCAAUUUCUAUUCUUUGUAAAAUGAGAACUAUAACUAAUAUA